RNAcentral lists this ribosomal RNA (537 nucleotides) under uncultured bacterium. RNAcentral describes it as "bacterial SSU rRNA". It matches the Rfam family "Bacterial small subunit ribosomal RNA", at positions 8 to 523 of the family's 1533-position model. The record is from RNAcentral.
AGAGUUUGAUCCUGGCUCAGAACGAACGCUGGCGGCGUGCUUAACACAUGCAAGUCGAACGUGAUCCAGAGCUUGCUCUGGUGAAAGUGGCGCACGGGUGAGUAACGCGUGGAUAACCUGCCCUGGUAUCUGGGAUAACAUCUCGAAAGGGGUGCUAAUACCGGAUAAGCCUACGGGCUCUUCGGAGUCUGCAGGAAAAGGAGGCCUCUAUUUAUAAGCUUCCGUAUCAUGAUGGGUCCGCGUACCAUUAGCUAGUUGGUGGGGUAAUGGCCUACCAAGGCGACGAUGGUUAGCUGGUCUGAGAGGAUGAUCAGCCACACUGGAACUGAGACACGGUCCAGACUCCUACGGGAGGCAGCAGUGGGGAAUUUUGCGCAAUGGGGGAAACCCUGACGCAGCAACGCCGCGUGAGUGAUGAAGGCUUUCGGGUCGUAAAGCUCUGUCAGAGGGGAAGAAAUGAAACGUGCUAAUAUCACGUUUUCUUGACGGUACCCUCAAAGGAAGCACCGGCUAACUCCGUGCCAGCAGCCGCGGUAA